UUUGGACUCAGUGAACCAAUUAAAUCAAUGUUACCUGGAGGGGAAUUUAUCUGUAGCUUUAAGAGACAUAAUGGACUAUGCUCUCUUGUUAUGUGGUUCUCCUUUCACUGUGGGAGAGGCCGUUGAUCUUCCAGAGGCAAGUCAGGUCCCCGUUGAUCUUCCAGAGUCAAGGUCCAGUCAAGUCACCCCUGACCGUCCAGAGUCAGGUCAAGUCACCAUUAACCCCCAUGAGUCAAGUAAAACCACAGUUAAACUUCAUGAGUCAAGUCACCGUCGAUCUUCGUGAACAAGAUCAAGUCACCGUCAAGCUCCCAGAAUCAAGGUCCAGUCAAGUCACCGCUGACCGUCCAGAGUCAGGUCAAGUCACCGCUGACCGUCCAGAGUCAGGUCAAGUCACCAUUAACACCCAUGAGUCAAGUAAAACCACAGUUAAACUUCAUGAGUCAAGUCACUGUUAAUCUUUAUGAGCCCAGUCAAAUCACUACCGAUCUUCCAGAACAUCAUCACGUCUCAACAGAUCUUCCAGAGCUUCAUCAUACCACAACAGAUCAUCCAGAGCCUUGUAACGUCUCAGCUGAACUUCCAGAGCCUCGUCACAUCCUGUCUGUUGCACCCAGCAAUGUUCUCUCAGCCUGUUGUGUUGCUGUGAAGGAGACUGUUACCGCUGUGGAACCUCCAGAGGUGGCGGCAACUGCUGCAGAACCUUCGGAGCUGUCAGUAGUAUCCAUCCAUGAACUCUCGUCCUAUCCUGUCAUGGUCACGGAGGCCAUCCACCUACUCGCUGUCUGUCCUGCCACGGAGGCCAUCCAUGAACUCCCCGCCUGUCCCGUCACGGCUAUGGAGGCCGUCUAUGAACUCUCGUUCAUUCCUGUCAUGGCUAUGGAGGCCAUCUGUGAACUUUCAACCUGCCUUAUGGCCACAGAGGCCACCAUUAAUCUGUUUGUUAUCUGUUCCAGUCCCACCUAACCAGACUUGCUCUCCUGUGCCAUCGACUCCACUGUGGUGGUCCUCUGCUCUGCCCUGGUGGGCUUCGGUCUCGUCUGCUCGGCUUUGGUGGUCCUCUGCUCUGCCCUGGUGGGCUCUGGCUCCACCCUGGUGGGCUCCGGCACCACCUGCUCCUGCCCUGGCGGGCUCCUGUUCCCGAGUUAAGCCCACGGCGGGCUCCUGUUCCCCAUGUUAGGCCCAGGAAGGGCUCCUGUUCCCCAGUUAAGCCCAGGAAGGGCUCCAGUUCUGCCUGAUCCACCCUGGCUUCCUCUCUGCUGGCUCUGCCCCGGUCCCCGGCCACUCCUCUUCCACACAGAAC
Molecule: long non-coding RNA, 1303 nt
Organism: Cyprinus carpio carpio
Lineage: Eukaryota; Metazoa; Chordata; Actinopteri; Cypriniformes; Cyprinidae
Source: Ensembl